Molecule: ribosomal RNA, 484 nt
Filed under: uncultured bacterium
Lineage: Bacteria
Description: partial 16S ribosomal RNA
Rfam family: Bacterial small subunit ribosomal RNA
Source: RNAcentral
AUUGAACGCUGGCGGCAGGCCUAACACAUGCAAGUCGAGCGGAUGAAGGGAGCUUGCUCCUGGAUUCAGCGGCGGACGGGUGAGUAAUGCCUAGGAAUCUGCCUGGUAGUGGGGGAUAACGUCCGGAAACGGGCGCUAAUACCGCAUACGUCCUGAGGGAGAAAGUGGGGGAUCUUCGGACCUCACGCUAUCGGAUGAGCCUAGGUCGGAUUAGCUAGUUGGUGGGGUAAAGGCCUACCAAGGCGACGAUCCGUAACUGGUCUGAGAGGAUGAUCAGUCACACUGGAACUGAGACACGGUCCAGACUCCUACGGGAGGCAGCAGUGGGGAAUAUUGGACAAUAGGCGAAAGCCUGAUCCAGCCAUGCCGCGUGUGUGAAGAAGGUCUUCGGAUUGUAAAGCACUUUAAGUUGGGAGGAAGGGCAGUAAGUUAAUACCUUGCUGUUUUGACGUUACCAACAGAAUAAGCACCGGCUAACUUCGUG